CUGUGUGUGUGUGUGUAUUCCCACCCUGUGUUCUGUGUGUGUGUGUGUGUAGUCCCACCCUGUGUUCUGUGUGUGUGUGUGUGUGUGUGUGUGUGUGUGUGUGUGUGUGUGUGUGUAGUCCCACCCUGUGUUCUGUGUGUGUGUGUGUGUGUGUAGUCCCACCCUGUGUGUGUGUGUGUGUGUAGUCCCACCCUGUGUGUGUGUGUGUGUGUGUUCCCACCCUGUGUGUGUGUGUGUGUGUGUGUGUAGUCCCACCCUGUGUUCUGUGUGUGUGUGUGUGUGUAGUCCCACCCUGUGUUCUGUGUGUGUGUGUGUGUGUGUGUGUGUGUGUGUGUGUGUGUGUGUGUGUGUGUAGUCCCACCCAGUGUUCUGUGUGUGUGUGUGUAGUCCCACCCUGUGUUCUGUGUGUGUGUGUGUGUGUGUGUGUGUGUAGUUCCACCCUGUGUUCUGUGUGUGUGUGUGUGUGUGUGUGUGUGUGUGUGUGUGUGUGUAGUCCCACCCUGUGUUCUGUGUGUGUGUGUGUGUGUGUGUAGUCCCACCCUGUGUGUGUGUGUGUAGUCCCACCCUGUGUGUGUGUGUGUGUGUGUGUAGUCCCACCCUGUGUGUGUGUGUGUAGUCCCACCCUGUGUGUGUGUGUGUGUGUGUAGUCCCACCCUGUGUGUGUGUGUGUGUGUGUAGUCCCACCCUGUGUGUGUGUGUGUAGUCCCACCCUGUGUGUGUGUGUGUAGUCCCACCCUGUGUGUGUGUGUGUGUGUGUGUGUGUAGUCCCACCUGUGUGUGUGUGUGUGUGUGUAGUCCCACCCUGUGUGUGUGUGUGUGUGUGUGUGUGUGUGUGUAGUCCCACCAUGUGUGUGUGUGUGUGUGUAGUCCCACCCUGUGUGUGUGUGUGUGUGUGUGUGUAGUCCCACCCUGUGUUCUGUGUGUGUGUGUGUGUGUGUAGUCCCACCCUGUGUUCUGUGUGUGUGUGUGUGUGUGUGUGUGUGUGUGUAGUCCCACCCAGUGUUCUGUGUGUGUGUGUGUAGUCCCACCCUGUGUUCUGUGUGUGUGUGUGUGUGUGUGU
Long non-coding RNA from Oncorhynchus tshawytscha (Chinook salmon), 1060 nucleotides. Lineage: Eukaryota; Metazoa; Chordata; Actinopteri; Salmoniformes; Salmonidae. The record is from Ensembl.